CGAACCGUCCCCCGGCGUUUGUUUUCGCACAUCAGACCUGACGUUGAUUGGACAGCCUGGCUGGGCUGAUGGUGCAGUUUCAGCAAAUCCAUGCGCGUAAUAGACGGCGAUUACCGGAGCGUCUCGGAGCUGAGGGGAUUAUAGAUGGCUAACGCUAACACAGUGACACACUGACGGACCUGUUGGCGUGGUUUUGCAUCAACUGAAAGAAUGCUAAGUGAGAAAUAAACCGAACAAAGUGGGAGCGGGAUUGGGAGAAGCCUGACCAAAAUAGAGGAACGGAAGAAGUAAAGAUUCAGCAGCGGUCCGUAAAUGUUCCUUCACGUCUGAAAGGCGAUCUGAAAUCCAGACAGAGUCUCAGCGUCGGAUUGAACCUUCCGGAAGCAGAAGUCCUCAAGUCUGAAGAAGCAGAGGGCUUAUAACUAAUGGGUUUGUAGUGCAUGUAGAAGUAAUUUCCUACAAAACAGAGAAGACUAAUACAGUAAUGGAGUACUGCCAUUCAUGUACUACAGUAAAGCCCAAUAGAGCUCUUAUAGAAGGCUUAUGGAAAUCUGAUGGAGGUCUUACAGAAGUCUUAUGGAAGUCUUAUGGAAGUCUUAUGGACUUAUGGAGGUCUUAUGUAAGGCUUAUGGAGGUCUUAUGGAAGUCUUAUGGAGGUCUUAUGGCAGUCUUAUGGCAGUCUUAUGGAAGGCAUAUGGAGGUCUUCUGGAGGUCUUAUGGCAGUCUUAUGGCAGUCUUAUGGAGGUCUUUUGGCAGUCUUAUGGAGUAAUGAGUCUGAAUUUAAGAUAUUUCAUUCACAAAUAUCUUGCAGAAUUUUGUGGACAUUUCCCAACAUUAAAUGUACCUAUAAAUGUAUGAAACCCGUCGCUGAUUAUUUUCCCGCUAUAUCAGCACGACACUGUCGUGUUUUAUUCCUUACUUGGAAUACCAAUGUCUUCCUGCCUAUUCAUAAACCUGAAGCACGUGGUGCUAUUUAUGAACUACGAUAACUAUUUUAAGAUUUCUAUUUCAUUGGACAAAUGAAAUGUUUACGCAGUCAGUUUUCUCGAGUCUGGGUUCGGUUCCUGUCAGAACACUCCCAAAAAUUCCGACUCGGGCUUCACUGCCUGAGGUCGAAACGUGAAGGUUUUCUUCCCCCCUCAAUCAGAAGGUGGGAAUUGCGAUUAUUCCCGUAUGACGUGAACGCAGCAUUAGCAUAACUGAAAGCUGUGUGGUCCCGUGAGAACGCGGUGUCGCUUGGGAUGAGACGCGGUUGAAAGGGGCCCUGCUUUUUUUGGUCCGGGGUUAUUAAGGGACUCUGGGAUAGUCGCUUCAAUGAUUCCCCCUGCAGGGAGACUGAAAAGAAUUGAACCAAGCCGUUCGAUCGUAG
Long non-coding RNA from Ictalurus punctatus (channel catfish), 1369 nucleotides. The record is from Ensembl. NCBI's taxonomy places the organism in Eukaryota, Metazoa, Chordata, Actinopteri, Siluriformes, Ictaluridae.